Molecule: ribosomal RNA, 338 nt
Filed under: uncultured bacterium
Lineage: Bacteria
Description: partial 16S ribosomal RNA
Rfam family: Bacterial small subunit ribosomal RNA
Source: RNAcentral
CCUACGGGUGGCAGCAGUGAGGAAUAUUGGUCAAUGGACGAGACUCUGAUCCAGCGAAGUAGCGUGAAGGAUGACUGCCCUCUGGGUUGUAAACUUCUUUUGUAUGGGAAUAAAUUAUUCCACGUGUGGGCUUUUGUCUGUACCAUUUGAAUCCGGAUCGGCUAACUCCGUGCCAGCAGCCGCGGUAAUACGGAGGAUCCGAGGGUUAUCCGGUGUUAUUGGGUUUAAAGGGAGCGUAGGGGGAUGGUUAGGUCAGUUGUGAAGGUUGGCGGCUCAACCGUAAAAUGGCAGUUGAAACUGGCAGUCGUGGUGACAGUAGAGGUGGGCGGAAUGCGAGG